GUGAUAUUUUUCUGCUCCUCAAGUUGUUUGCAUGUAUCAAUGUUUCUGUCACUCAGUUUUUCGUGAGACACAACUAAAUCAUCAUAGCCCAAAUCUUCUUCAUAAGGUUUAAUGUCACAAAAGAUUUUACAAGAUAAUGCAGUAGUAUGAUUAGCAGAUUCUCUUUCUCCAUCUCCUUCAGGCUCAUCAUCAUCAGACUAGGAUGCAGUCAAGCUUUUCUUGUGUUUCUUAAGAAAGGUAGCACCGUAAAACCCCAAUUUUUAGUAUUAUGAUUAUUAGUAGUAGUGUUGAUUGUUUGACAUUAUUAUUUUUUAAUUAUUUUUAUUUGAAUUUAAUCCGUUUUAACAUGUUUGGGUGAGGUUGUUUAGUUAAUUGGGAUAGAGACAUUGGAUUAAUAAGGGUAGCAUAUAUAAACUAGAGCUUUAAUUAAUGGUAGUAGUUUAAUUAAAAAAAAAAACAGAGAGAAAAUAAUAUUUAGAAAGAAAAUAGGUUUUUUUUAGAGAAUAAGAAAUUAGAGUCAGAACGGGGGAUUAGUAAAUUUGGGUAGAAAAGAUGUGUAGUUAGUGAGAUGAGUAAUGCUUUAAUGAGUUAAGUAGAUGGGAAGUGUGAAUAGCAAGACGGUGUGGUUACAGAAAGAAUAGUAACAAAUUCGGGAGGUACAUAUUUUAAACCGAAAGAUUAGUAACAAACUUAGGUGAUGAUUAUAAAUAGAUGAGAACAUUAGAAAAAUAGGAUUACAACAAACAGAAAAAAGAUUAGAGAACAAAAGAAAACUAGGGUUGUGGAGAGAAAAGGCAAGAAGGCAUAGCAAGAGGAACGUAGAGAGAGAUUUCACCGUAGGAACUCAUCAAAUUCGACAAACUAGAGGUAAGGGGGGAGUCUCUAUUCAGCGUAAGGGUUGUAUCAACAUAUGGGUAGUGAAAGGUUUUAUUUUUUUUAUUAUUUUUCUUACGAUCUUUUACCGAAUUCAUGUUAAAUUUGUGCUCUAAUUGUUGCGACGAUUUUAGGUAUAUAAUCUCUCUAAAUUCAUGUUAUUGAUUUAUGUGAUUAAUAUAUAUGGAUAAUUGAAUUCGUAACGUGUUUUAGAAUUGAUAAUCUUUGAUUGAAUUCACGAAUCCUUUUAUUAAUUUUAUAAAUGAAUAAUUUGCUGGGUAAUAUAGUGUUGCUGGUUAAUUCUCUUGCAACUCUCGGCCAUGUGUGUUUCAAUUGCACGUAUAUGCUUGAAAUUCAAUUAGGAGUAAAUCUUGUGUCAGUUACCUAGUUUAACCUCUUUGUACUCAUUAGAUUUCAUAGCCCCACCCAACUAUUGACUAUAGUUAUGUGAUGAUUUUUCUAACGUUUUUAUUUUAGUGAAGUUUGUAGUUAUUUGUUUAAAUUGAAGUCCUUUGCUAAAGUAUAAGUUUUUAAAUUACGAGAAUUUGUACACUAUAUUUUCAGUAGGAACUUUUAAUUCGAUAGUUGAAUUGAUAAAAUUUAAUAUCUACAGAUGUUCACAACCCCCCAACCACGAGUCCUGGGACAUCUACAAAAGAUGCCAGCAUAUUAUACAAGCACCACACCUUGUCCCAAGACUCGUGAAUGGGGGGUUGUGGACCGUCAUAAUAUUCUUGGGUACAUAAGGAACCUUCAUAAGGGUCCUCGUGCCUCACCAAAGGGCCAGGAUGUCCUCCAAGAGAAUCUUAGAGAUCAAAUACGCAUCCCCUUCAGGGCGCCGCCUUCAGUGGCUUCUAGAAACCGCCCAGAAGUACUGAAAUACCCUUCUUUACUUGCCAACCAAGUAAACCACAAACAAAGCCCAUAAGGGACUAUAUAUACCAUCCUUGGGAUCAUUCUUAAUCCAUCUAAUCAUCAUUCAAAAACCCAACAAUACUAAGAAAAACUUAGUUCUCUUUACCGUACUUUUUCGACAAGUACAGGUGACAAACACACCUACUCUGGAGGCUACCAAGCUAGGAAGGAAAUCCACUAGUGUAGUCCUUAUUCAAUAGCUCUCAACAAACUCCUCGUUUACACUAUAUGACCUAGGACCUACCUGUAUAUACUUCAAACUAGGAACUCCCAGAUCUGAGAUCCCAUUUCACUAUCUUAAUGGUCAGUCACAUCCUUGUGACCUAUCAGACCUAAACCAAAACAAAGUUAUAAGUUACCUUCCAACAUAAACAACUAACACCUUGUGUCACAACUUCGGUGUAGUACAAAGGAGUAAUCAUACUCACACACAAUCCUAACAAAUAUCACAGACGAUACAAGAAAUAACACAUAAUAGAUUCUAAACUUGCAUCACAAACGAUACAAGAGCAGAAUACAUGAAGACUCAAACCCUAAAAAUCUAAACUUUUAGAAUGACAGCUUGAAUGAACAAUUAGGUCUUGAAGUCUUCCUUCUAGACUAAAGUAGCAUGGGCUAAAUAAUUCGUUGGGCCUCAGCACAAAGCAAAUCGGUUCAGCUAGUCUGCAAAACAAGAAUCAUAAACAAAUCUGGACAGUCCUAAAAUGUCGGAACAUUUAUAGGAUCGUUCCAAACAAUAAUAAAUAUUUCCUAAAAACUAAUAUCAUUUUUAGAAAUAUUCCACAGCUGAUUCUUAGAAGAUAUGCGUGUUGCUUGAUCAAUAAGAUAAGGAAAUAUUGUUUCCUUAAACAAUAAAGGACGCGCCUACAAAUAGGCGAGAACUUAGGCACACUGAACCGUGUCAGGAUGUUGGAACAUUGUAUCCAACAUUUUACAGAGACGCCUAAACACAUGUUGAAACAUUGGCUCCAACUUACAUCAAGGAUAUUUUUUGUAGCAAUAAUGCAGCCAAUACAAAUACCCAACAUACUCCCUCAUUGAUUUCCCACGCAAAGGUGGUGUUUUCCUUGACAAACAAAAGUAGCUUCUGUAAUUCCUUCUAAAAAUGUCAAAUGAUCUUAUGAUCAUAUAAUUCCCAUCUCUCUUAUUUGAAAUGAAGAAAGGACUUUUCUCGGUUAUUUUAGUGUUAAGGUUAGAACCUGUUUCCUCAUAAUAUAUAUCUUAUACAUGCGCAAGAAAAGGGUUGCACUUCACACACACUCACUUGAAACUUGUUGUUGGGUUGAAUAGGUUCGCAAGGAAUACUUGAUGUUGUGAUUAGUGUACACUUGAAAUUAAGCCUUUGAGGAGACAUAAGAUUUUAAUUGAAUUGUCAUAUUUUAAUUUUGUUUAUGUUGCUAUGUUUAUGGCUUUUGCUUGAGGGCAAGAAAAGAUUCAAGUGUGGGGGAGUUUAAUGAGUCAAUAAUUAGUGUUUUUAAUAGGUUAUUUGAGUUUAUUUUAUUUAGAUUUUACGUGUUUUUAUUUACUUUCCAAAACUAUUUUACUACAAUUGCUUGUUAUUUAAUUCCAGGAAAUUUUUUGGUGAAAGAUUGAAUCUUGGAGCAAAAGAAAAGGUUUUGGAGUAUGAUUAAAGGAUAAAAGGAUCUAAAAUAUGAUUUGGAGCUGAUUGAAGUCAAAAAUAUGAAGUCAUGUGCAAAAAUAUAAGGUAUGGCCGCGCCAGACAGUGGCGUGGCCACAUCAGACAGCGACGUGGCCACACCAUCAAAGUCAUGGCCAAGUGAGAGAGUUGUCACGGCUUGUGCUGCCAGUGGCACGGCCGUGCGCGUCUGUUGCAGCCCUUUUGCUACUUUUGCUUAGAGAGUUGGCACAGCCCGUGCCUGUGGUGGAACGACCGUGCCAAGGUUCCAUCUGCCACUUUUAGUUGUAUUUUGACCUAAAUCCCAUAGAUAUUCUUGAGUGACACACUAAUGAUUCACUUCUUAGGGCUUAAGUCAAUAUUAGACUAUUAGUAGAGCAGCCAUCAGAC
This 3814-nucleotide long non-coding RNA is filed under the name Medicago truncatula (barrel medic). RNAcentral's name for it is "long non-coding RNA (MTRU_LNC007367)". The record is from RNAcentral. Lineage: Eukaryota; Viridiplantae; Streptophyta; Magnoliopsida; Fabales; Fabaceae.